UUGGAAGUUUGGACGAGAACUUGYUAAACCUAUCUUUAGAGGAAGGUGAAGUCUAGCAAGGUUUCCGUAGGUGAACCUGCGGAAGGAUCA
This 90-nucleotide ribosomal RNA is filed under the name Pseudo-nitzschia pungens. RNAcentral describes it as "partial 18S ribosomal RNA". It matches the Rfam family "Eukaryotic small subunit ribosomal RNA". The record is from RNAcentral. Lineage: Eukaryota; Bacillariophyta; Bacillariophyceae; Bacillariales; Bacillariaceae.